This is a non-coding RNA of Aedes albopictus (Asian tiger mosquito), 74 nucleotides long. The record is from Rfam. Lineage: Eukaryota; Metazoa; Arthropoda; Insecta; Diptera; Culicidae.
GGAUCCGUAGCUUGGAGGAAAAAAGCGCUAAACUAGUGAAUUGUGUGUCGUAGGUUCGACUCCCACCGGAUUUC